UACAGAGGCCUCGAGCGUUAGGCGGAAUUACUGGGCGUCAAGCGUGUGCAGGCGGGGAGACAAGAGGGGUAUGAAAUUUCCCGGCUUAACCGGGAAGGGUUAUGCCAGACUGUCUUUCUGGAGUGCGAGAGAGGGGCGUGGAAUUCCGGGUGUAGUGGUGAAAUGCGUAGAGAUCCGGAGGAACCCCAGAGGCGAAGGCGGCGCCCUGGCUCGCAACUGACGCUCAGACACGACAGCAUGGGGAGCGAACGGG
Molecule: ribosomal RNA, 253 nt
Filed under: uncultured bacterium
Lineage: Bacteria
Description: partial 16S ribosomal RNA
Rfam family: Bacterial small subunit ribosomal RNA
Source: RNAcentral